Molecule: ribosomal RNA, 459 nt
Filed under: uncultured bacterium
Lineage: Bacteria
Description: partial 16S ribosomal RNA
Rfam family: Bacterial small subunit ribosomal RNA
Source: RNAcentral
CCUACGGGGUGCAGCAGUGAGGAAUAUUGGUCAAUGGGCGGGAGCCUGAACCAGCCAAGCCGCGUGAGGGAAGAAGGUACAGCGUAUCGUAAACCUCUUUUGUCAGGGAACAAAGGCUGGAACUAGUCCCCGGAUGAGGGUACCUGAAGAAAAAGCAUCGGCUAACCCCGUGCCAGCAGCCGCGGUAAUACGGAGGAUGCGAGCGUUAUCCGGAUUUAUUGGGUUUACAGGGUGCGCAGGCGGCCUGUUAAGUCAGCGGUAAAAGCCCGGGGCGCAAACCCGGCGAGCCGUUGAAACUGGCGGGCUGGAGUUGGAGAGAAGUACGCGGAAUGCGCGGUGUAGCGGUGAGAUGCUUAGAGAUCGCGCAGAACCCCGAGUGCGAAGGCAGCUUACUAAACUGCCACUGACAUUGAUGCUCGAAAGUGUGGGUAUCAAACAGGAUUAGAUACCCGGGUAGUC